GGUAGGGUGGCCGAGUAGGCGGCGAGUUGUAGCCUCGUGCACGGGCGGCGACGUCCCCCAGC
Molecule: transfer RNA, 62 nt
Filed under: Cyrtodactylus cryptus
Lineage: Eukaryota; Metazoa; Chordata; Lepidosauria; Squamata; Gekkonidae
Description: partial tRNA-Tyr
Source: RNAcentral